Long non-coding RNA from Haliotis rubra (blacklip abalone), 144 nucleotides. RefSeq lists it as uncharacterized. NCBI's taxonomy places the organism in Eukaryota, Metazoa, Mollusca, Gastropoda, Lepetellida, Haliotidae. The record is from RefSeq and is a predicted model, not a curated record. The transcript is spliced from 3 exons.
AGCAGGACAGGCAAGCAAUGAGGAGCCGGCAGACAGCGGGAAGAGCGCGGGCAGACCGGCAGAAGGCAAGCCAUGGACAAGGAGGGACAAACACUCAGCAGCCCAUCCAUCCCAUCUGCUGCCCCAGGUUCAUCUUGCUAAGAU